RNAcentral lists this ribosomal RNA (465 nucleotides) under uncultured bacterium. RNAcentral describes it as "partial 16S ribosomal RNA". It matches the Rfam family "Bacterial small subunit ribosomal RNA", at positions 338 to 795 of the family's 1533-position model. The record is from RNAcentral.
CCUACGGGAGGCUGCAGUAGGGAAUGUUCGUCAAUGGGCGCAAGCCUGAACGAGCAAUGCCGCGUGAACGAGGAAGGUCUUCGGAUCGUAAAGUUCUGUUGAAGGGGAAAAAGAGCGGAGAGAGGAAAUGCUUUCUGAUUGAUAUUACCCUUCGAGGAAGUCACGGCUAACUACGUGCCAGCAGCCGCGGUAAUAAGUAGGUGGCGAGCGUUAUCCGGAAUGAUUGGGCGUAAAGGGUGCGUAGGCGGCCUGCUAAGUCUGGAGUGAAAGGUACCGGCUCAACCGGUACAGGCUCUGGAAACUGGCGGGCUAGAGGGCAGGAGAGGGCGGUGGAACUCCAUGUGUAGCGGUAGAAUGCGUAGAUAUAUGGCAGAACACCAGUGGCGAAGGCGGCCGCCUGGCCUGUUAACUGACGCUGAAGCACGAAAGCGUGGGUAUCGAACAGGAUUAGAUACCCUUGUAGUC